CGAGUUAGCCAGACAAUCGCUGCUUGAUUCACUUCGGUGUUUUCAAGGGGAGGAAAGUCCGGGCUCCAAAGAGCAGGGUGCCAGAUAACGUCUGGGCGGUGUAAUGCCGACGACAAGUGCAGCAGAGAGAAGACCGCCGAUGACUUCUUCGGAAGAACAGGUAAGGCUGAAAGGGUGCGGUAAGAGCGCACCGGGCGACUAGUAAUAGUUCGUUGCAGGGUAAACUCCACCCGGAGCAAGACCAAAUAGGGUUUCAUAUGGCGUGGCUCGCGUUGAAACCGGGUAGGUUGCUUGAGCCUUAGAGUGAUUUAAGGCCUAGACGAAUGAUUGUCACUUUUCCUAGGAAGAGUACAGAACCCGGCUUAUCGGCUAACUCACAUA
Molecule: RNase P RNA, 381 nt
Filed under: Thalassotalea algicola
Lineage: Bacteria; Pseudomonadati; Pseudomonadota; Gammaproteobacteria; Alteromonadales; Colwelliaceae
Description: Bacterial RNase P class A
Rfam family: Bacterial RNase P class A
About the family: Ribonuclease P (RNase P) is a ubiquitous endoribonuclease, found in archaea, bacteria and eukarya as well as chloroplasts and mitochondria.
Source: Rfam by way of RNAcentral